Molecule: ribosomal RNA, 422 nt
Filed under: uncultured bacterium
Lineage: Bacteria
Description: partial 16S ribosomal RNA
Rfam family: Bacterial small subunit ribosomal RNA
Source: RNAcentral
GAAUUUUGGCCAAUGGGGGCUACCCUGAUCCAGCCAUCCCGCGUGUGCGCUGAAGGCCUUCGGGUUGUAAAGCACUUUUGGCAGGGAAGAAAAGGCCCUGGCUAAUACCUUGCGCUGCUGACGGUCCCUGCAGAAUAAGCACCGGCCACCUCCGUGCCCGCAGCCGCGGUAAUACGUAGGGUGCAAGCGUUAAUCGGAAUUACUGGGCGUAAAGCGUGCGCAGGCGGUUCGGCAAGAAGGAUGUGAAAUCCCAGGGCUUAACCUUGGAACUGCAUUCUUAACUGCCGGGCUAGAGUAUGUCAGAGGGGGGUAGAAUUCCGCGUGUAGCGGUGAAAUGCGUAGAGAUGCGGAGGAAUACCGAUGGCGAAGGCAGCCCCCUGGGAUAAUACUGACGCUCAUGCACGAAAGCGUGGGGAGCAAAC